Molecule: ribosomal RNA, 253 nt
Filed under: uncultured bacterium
Lineage: Bacteria
Description: partial 16S ribosomal RNA
Rfam family: Bacterial small subunit ribosomal RNA
Source: RNAcentral
UACGUAGGGGGCAAGCGUUGUCCGGAAUCAUUGGGCGUAAAGAGCGUGUAGGCGGCUUGGUAAGUCCGCUGUGAAAGUCCAGGGCUCAACCCUGGGAAGCCGGUGGAAACUGUCAAGCUUGAGUCCGGAAGAGGCGAGUGGAAUUCCUGGUGUAGCGGUGAAAUGCGCAGAUAUCAGGAGGAACACCAAUGGCGAAGGCAGCUCGCUGGGACGGUACUGACGCUGAGACGCGAAAGCGUGGGGAGCAAACAGG